This 72-nucleotide transfer RNA is filed under the name Camelus bactrianus (Bactrian camel). It matches the Rfam family "tRNA". From Rfam's summary of the family: Transfer RNA (tRNA) molecules are approximately 80 nucleotides in length. RNAcentral also lists the same sequence under 2 other names. The record is from Rfam by way of RNAcentral. Lineage: Eukaryota; Metazoa; Chordata; Mammalia; Artiodactyla; Camelidae.
GGAGGGUAAGCUCAGUGCCAGAGCACAUGCCUAGCAUGCACGAGGUUCUGGGUUCAGUCCCCGGUACCUCCA